This 109-nucleotide ribosomal RNA is filed under the name Escherichia coli. Lineage: Bacteria; Pseudomonadati; Pseudomonadota; Gammaproteobacteria; Enterobacterales; Enterobacteriaceae. The record is from RNAcentral.
CAGUAGCGCGGUGGUCCCACCUGACCCCAUGCCGAACUCAGAAGUGAAACGCCGUAGCGCCGAUGGUAGUGUGGGGUCUCCCCAUGCGAGAGUAGGGAACUGCCAGGCA